Long non-coding RNA from Myotis myotis, 430 nucleotides. RefSeq lists it as uncharacterized. Lineage: Eukaryota; Metazoa; Chordata; Mammalia; Chiroptera; Vespertilionidae. The transcript is spliced from 2 exons. The record is from RefSeq and is a predicted model, not a curated record.
GGGCGGCACUGAGGCUCAGACAGGACCAGAGAUCAUGGCGUUUAAAGGGGCCCCGAAGAUCCAGCGGAAAGAGAACUAUAACACAUCCCUGGAGAAGAGGGGAAUGGUGGAGACUGGUGAUGCUGAGUUAAGGCAGAACCGGUGCUGACUUCACUGCACCCCUCCCGCUUGCAGGCAACAAUGUGGGGGAAAGGAUGCAUGAGGUCCAGGACAGUGUGAAGGUGGACAUCAGCCUGGAAAGAAAGAAGAUAUCCGUUGAAUUGUCUCGGAAAAAAUCCUGGAAGGAGGAAAUAACCUGGAGCAAAGGUUCCAAGGCAGGAGCGAGCCAGAAAAGCAUGAGGAACCCAGUUUCGAAACCUGCCAUCACUGACUGAAGAUGGGUGCCAUGCCCAGGCACGCAGGCUGGCUCCUCCUGGGCUCAGGAGUGGAU